This 469-nucleotide ribosomal RNA is filed under the name uncultured bacterium. RNAcentral's name for it is "partial 16S ribosomal RNA". It matches the Rfam family "Bacterial small subunit ribosomal RNA", at positions 28 to 507 of the family's 1533-position model. The record is from RNAcentral.
GACGAACGCUGGCGGCGUGCUUAACACAUGCAAGUCGAACGGAAAGGCCCUGCUUGCUGGGUGCUAGAGUUGCGAACGGGCGGGUAACUCGUGGGUGAUCUGCCCCCUACUUUGGGAUAGGCCAGGGCAACUGGGUCUAAUACUUGAUAGGACCUAGCUGUAGGGGGUGUGGUGGAAAGAUUAGUUUCGGUAGGGGAUGAGCUCGGGGCCGAUCAGCUUUUUGCAGGGGUAAUGGCAUACCACGGCGUCGCCGGGUAGCCGGCCAGAGUGGGUGGACGGCAAGAUCGGGACUGAGACGGGAGCCAGACGCGGGCAGUAUGCAGCAGUGGGGAAUAUUGUGCAAUAGGCGCAAGCCGGAUGCAGCGACGGCGCGUGGGUGGUGACGGCCUUCGGGUUGGAAACACCUUUCAGCCAUGACGAAGCCCUUGUGGUGACGGUAGUGAUAGAAGAAGCACCGGCUAACUACGUG